Molecule: long non-coding RNA, 281 nt
Filed under: Bos taurus (domestic cattle)
Lineage: Eukaryota; Metazoa; Chordata; Mammalia; Artiodactyla; Bovidae
Description: long non-coding RNA NONBTAT022617
Source: RNAcentral
CUUAACUUUUAUUCAUUUUUUCUUUGUAUCUUAAGUGUUGAUGUUCUUCUCCAAAUGCAGCUUCAACUCAGACAGUGUUAAGCUGGAGCGGAAUCUGAUCACUUAGCCUAGCCGCUUUCUGUAUUCAGACAUCCCUUCCCUCGUCUUCUUGCCAGUUGGUAGUACAGUGGUCUGUAUUGUCCUGCACACGUUGUUCUAGAAUGCGUACUAAGAAGUUAACUCAGUAAAUACACCAACAGCAUCCCAGUACAUCUGUAGGACUGAGACAUUGUCCCAUAGUA